CGGAAGGGAUAACCGCUGAAUGCAUCUAAGCGGGAAACCCACCUUAAAACUAGGUAUCCCAAUUAAGACCGUGGUAGACCACCACGUUGAUAGGUCAGGUGUGUAAGUACAGCAAUGUAUUUAGCUAACUGAUACUAAUAGUCUGAUUGGCUUGAUUUU
RNAcentral lists this ribosomal RNA (159 nucleotides) under Alphaproteobacteria bacterium. Its description in RNAcentral is "partial 23S ribosomal RNA". It matches the Rfam family "Bacterial large subunit ribosomal RNA", at positions 2756 to 2925 of the family's 2925-position model. The record is from RNAcentral. Lineage: Bacteria; Pseudomonadati; Pseudomonadota; Alphaproteobacteria.